UUAAUCAUGAUCUUAAAAAACUCAAGUGUGGAAGCUGCUAGAGUAGUUAAUGAGAGAGGGAAGGAUUAGAGAUCAGUGAGGAAGAGAAGUGUAUCUUGCAUCGUCCUCAGUAACAAAAGCAAUUGCUACGAGAGACAGCUCGAAUCAUGACAUUAGAGGCUUAGAAAGAAAACUAAUUUCUCAUCCAAAUGAUGUGACUUGCUGGAGACCAUGCGCUUGUGAUUCUGAGUGCUCUGAUGGUUGGUUUUGUACAUUGUGCGAAUGGGAUAUUCUUUUUCGCCAGAAGACGUGUUCUGCUAGCUCCUUCACAUUCUAGAUAGCAGGUCGAAUGUGGCUUUGAUUAUAUUUCUUUUACUAUUGUUCUCGUCGUAUAAAUUUGUGCCUGUUUGAACAAAUAUUGGAAAGUCUUGCAAUGGUAAUGGCCUGAUCCUUGUCACUAAA
This is a long non-coding RNA of Nicotiana attenuata, 441 nucleotides long. RefSeq lists it as uncharacterized. NCBI's taxonomy places the organism in Eukaryota, Viridiplantae, Streptophyta, Magnoliopsida, Solanales, Solanaceae. The record is from RefSeq and is a predicted model, not a curated record. The transcript has 2 exons.